UCCAACCGCUCAAGCUGCUACCGUUGGAUUUGUUUAACUCUGGCAUAUCGUUAGGCGCUGGGUAGUGUUAGCCACCUAGUGACAUUAGCAGAACCCAGGUGUUACUACUGCAGUGGUUGGUGUUGUUGAUGUGUGGAUUAACCGUGUACCACCAGUGAUAUAAUGCACGUGGGAGAGUUUCUUCUUAUAGUUAUCCAGCUGUUGAAUAACGUAUGGCUUGGAAGGACAGCAGGGAUGGAGGUGACGCCCGCACAGCUGUUACUCCGUCGCAAAAUUUUGGUGGUUUCCCUGGACGGCUUCGGACACGACUACCUGACCAAGUACCAGUGGCAGCACCUGAGUAAUCUUUACGCUCAUGGCAGUUAUCCCUAUAGGUUCAGAAAUCAGUUUGUAACCAAGACUUUCCCCAACCAUUUCUCAGUUGCCACAGGUAUGUAUGAAGAGGCACAUGGUGUGGUUGGCAACAAUGUGUAUGAGCCUCAGUUGAAGCAAACAUUUGAAGUGAGCGAUGCAGAAUUAUUUACUCAGAAUCCUCAUGUCUCUCCAAUUUGGACAUUAAAUGAGGAGCAUGGAGGACAUAGUGGGUGCAUCAUGUGGCCAGGCUGCGAUUUUGCAUACCGUGGAAAAAAUGUGACAUUCUGGUCUCCAUAUCAUGAACGAGCUGCAUUAAAAGAAAGCAUAGAUACAAGCAUCCAGUGGUUUACAAAUGAACAGACUCCUGCCAACCUUAUCUUUCUUUACCAUGAAGAACCUGAUCAUUUGGGUCAUAUUUAUGGGCCUAAUUCAUCUCAAGUUUUAAAAGAAUUGAAAAAAAUUGAUGAAGAUAUCGGAUAUCUGUACCAUAUGCUUCAGUUGCAUGGACUGAAGGACACUGUAGAUGUGAUUAUUCUAAGUGACCAUGGCAUGAGUGCUGUUAAAGAAGAGAACAUAAUUGACCUGAAUGCCAUAGUAGAUCAUGACCUGUACAACACAUCUGGAAACUCUCCUAUGUUACAAGUCUGGACAACACCUGAAAAUUUCAAGGUGGUAUAUUCACAUUUGAUGAAGAGAAUAAAAACAGAGAAGUACAUGGUAUACUUAAACAGUGAUGAUAAGCUAAAGUCUUGGCAUUUCACAAACAACACACGCAUCAGUGAAAUUACUCUACUUGCUGAAGAGGGCUAUGUCUUUCAAGAUUUUAAGAAGUAUAUUGAAGGAAUUAAGAACAGUGGACUCUCAGAUUUGACAGACACACAUGGUGACCAUGGAUACCCUGUUGAUGUGCCUAGCAUGGAGCCAAUAUUUGUAGCUGUGGGACCAUCAUUCAAGCAAGGAUUUGAGGCUCUGGAGUUCAGCAACAUAGAUGUGUACCUCCUGUUGUGUCAUAUGUUGUAUCUCCCUCCUGGACCUCAUAAUGGGACUUUUGACCACAUCAACUCUAUUUUAAUGGAGCCAGUGUCAUCAAUGCUCAUUCUUCCUGUGACAAUUAGUUUAGGGUUAUCUUCGGUAUACUUCUUGGUGCUUCAUUAUAACCAGGGUGCUUAGUUGUACUCGUAGGACUGAUUGGUUUUCUGAUUACCAGAAGCAAACGUAAACCUGUUUCAGCUGAGGCUCUCAUCAGUGGAUAUGUGCACAGGAAAGCAAAGCGUGGAGGCAAGGAGCCAUUACAAGACAUAAGUGAAG
RNAcentral lists this unclassified non-coding RNA (1662 nucleotides) under Homarus americanus (American lobster). RNAcentral describes it as "bis(5'-adenosyl)-triphosphatase ENPP4-like, transcript variant X5". Lineage: Eukaryota; Metazoa; Arthropoda; Malacostraca; Decapoda; Nephropidae. The record is from RNAcentral.